This 237-nucleotide ribosomal RNA is filed under the name uncultured bacterium. RNAcentral describes it as "partial 16S ribosomal RNA". It matches the Rfam family "Bacterial small subunit ribosomal RNA", at positions 99 to 334 of the family's 1533-position model. The record is from RNAcentral.
CGAACGGGUGAGUAACGCGUGAGGAACCUGCCUCAAAGAGGGGGACAACAGUUGGAAACGACUGUUAAUACCGCAUAAGCCCACGGCUCGGCAUCGAGCAGAGGGAAAAGGAGUGAUCCACUUUGGGAUGGCCUCGCGUCCGAUUAGCUAGUUGGUGAGGUAACGGCCCACCAAGGCGACGAUCGGUAGCCGGACUGAGAGGUUGAACGGCCACAUUGGGACUGAGACACGGCCCAG